GCCAUUAUUAAGGAUAAGUACAUUUCUAUGCUUACCUGAAAUAUCUUAAACUGAAGUUGCCAUUAUUAAAAAAGAAGCUCACAAAAGGCAGCAUUAUUCAAAAAGAUGCCAAAGAAUUAGUUCACGGUCCAACAUAAAACCAAAAAAAAAAAAAAAGAAGAAAUUCAACAUUUAAAUAUAAAAGAGCAAGUGUAAUAAUCAUUUUAGCUGUAAAAUUAAAGCAAUAAAACUAAUACGAUAAGCAAGUCACCCUUCAGUUUGGUCAGAAUCUGCGAUUCAGGGUAAGAAAGAAAAUGAAUUGAUAUCGGAUGAUAUAUAUCUAAGCAAUUCUAACUGAAACCAUGGCUUGUUCCAAUUUAAUCCACAUGGUGUCUCUUUGUGUCCACA
RNAcentral lists this unclassified non-coding RNA (387 nucleotides) under Hevea brasiliensis (rubber tree). The record is from RNAcentral. Lineage: Eukaryota; Viridiplantae; Streptophyta; Magnoliopsida; Malpighiales; Euphorbiaceae.